RNAcentral lists this transfer RNA (74 nucleotides) under Candidatus Iainarchaeum sp. RNAcentral describes it as "tRNA-Ala". It matches the Rfam family "tRNA". Rfam says of the family: Transfer RNA (tRNA) molecules are approximately 80 nucleotides in length. Their secondary structure includes four short double-helical elements and three loops (D, anti-codon, and T loops). Lineage: Archaea; Nanobdellati; Candidatus Iainarchaeota; Candidatus Iainarchaeia; Candidatus Iainarchaeales; Candidatus Iainarchaeaceae. The record is from RNAcentral.
GGGCUCAUAGCUCAGCCUGGUAGAGCACUCCGUUUGCAUCGGAGGGGCCGCGGGUUCAAAUCCCGCUGAGUCCA